AUUGCACGCUGGCGGCAGGCCUAACACAUGCAAGUCGAACGAGUGGCGGACGGGUGAGUAAUGUCUGGGAAAAUGCCUGAUGGAGGGGGAGAACUACUGGAAACGGUAGCUAAUACCGCAUACCAUCAGAUGUGCCCAGAUGGGAUUAGCUAGGAGGUGGGGUAAUGGCUCACCUAGGCGAAGAUCCCUAGCUGGUCUGGGAGGAUGACCAGCCACACUGGAACUGAGACACGGUCCAGACUCCUACGGGAGGCAGCAGUGGGGAAUAUUGCACAAUGGGCGCAAGCCUGAUGCAGCCAUGCCGCGUGUAUGAAGAAGGUCUUCGGGUUGUAAAGUACUUUCAGCGAGGAGGCGUUACUCGCAGAAGAAGCACCGGCUAACUCCGUGCCAGCAGCCGCGGUAAUAC
RNAcentral lists this ribosomal RNA (406 nucleotides) under uncultured bacterium. Its description in RNAcentral is "partial 16S ribosomal RNA". It matches the Rfam family "Bacterial small subunit ribosomal RNA", at positions 30 to 526 of the family's 1533-position model. The record is from RNAcentral.